Trichobilharzia regenti is the source of this 46-nucleotide non-coding RNA. The record is from Rfam. NCBI's taxonomy places the organism in Eukaryota, Metazoa, Platyhelminthes, Trematoda, Strigeidida, Schistosomatidae.
GUACCGAUGAUGAGUCCCAAACGAGAACGAAACAGCUGUCCAGUAC